AAAAUAACGGACAACUCACAAUCAUUAAAGGGUACCUUAAACAAUAAGGUGAAACUUCCUUUUAUUAGUAGGCGCACAACUAGCACCAACUGAUCAAAGGCAGGCCAGCAAUAGGGGCACACGCACAUCCCAGUUAGACAGGCUGGGAUCAUAAGAUACAACGAACCCAACAGAAAUGGCACCAAGCUAAAUGAUCACAUAAACGGUGACACUUUAAGCGUACGUACACAGCCGCUGCUCCUAGGAAUGGGAGGUAGUAGGGAUUUCAGACGCACGUCUAUGGUGUUGUCUUCUACAGUAGCACUCGUGCAGACAGCUUCUGUCUCUGAAAUUGCGGGAGAUCCAAGUUACAACUAUUGUCAUUCAACCGAAGGAGCCGGAAUGUGGAUGGAUUCUGACUGCUGAAUUGGCCGCCAUGCCUUACCUGCCUCAUGAUUCGGAGCGACAGGGAUGUCGUUUUUUUUACUUUUUCGGUAAAAGUGAAACGUUAUAUUUAUAAAUAAAAAAUAAUAUAGGACUAGAUCUGUUAUAUAUGUGUUUAUAUUGAUCUAACUGUCAUGACUGAAAAAUAAGCCAUGAUAAAAAAAGCCCGCAAAAUUAACUCUAAAUUUAAAGUUAAAAAUUUAAAUUUGUUGUAUAUGCGU
RNAcentral lists this long non-coding RNA (644 nucleotides) under Oryza brachyantha (malo sina). RNAcentral's name for it is "long non-coding RNA (OBRA_LNC001105)". Lineage: Eukaryota; Viridiplantae; Streptophyta; Magnoliopsida; Poales; Poaceae. The record is from RNAcentral.